UAACAGGACCUCAUUCCUCACACAGGGAUGAC
RNAcentral lists this non-coding RNA (32 nucleotides) under Rattus norvegicus (Norway rat). The record is from RNAcentral. Lineage: Eukaryota; Metazoa; Chordata; Mammalia; Rodentia; Muridae.